This 915-nucleotide long non-coding RNA is filed under the name Citrus x clementina. RNAcentral describes it as "Citrus clementina (C. clementina) long non-coding RNA (CCLE_LNC000813)". The record is from RNAcentral. Lineage: Eukaryota; Viridiplantae; Streptophyta; Magnoliopsida; Sapindales; Rutaceae.
AAAUAUUUUCAUUUUUUUUUGCAGAUUUGCAGACUUUUCCAGAUUUACAAAAGUAAACCCAUAUCCAAUCGACUGACUGCGGAUUUUUAAAAUUUCAGUUCAAUCCAAUCCACCAAUCUAAAUUUUUACGAAUUAGAUUUCCAUAGAUAAGAUGAAUUGAGUAGAUUUGGAUUCAAAACACCCCUAACCCAUAUUGCCAUCAUUGUUGAUUCGUCGCUUUACCUCUCAUCCAGUUCAUCGCGUCCUCACAGUCGUCAUCUAACCUUCGUGGUCGUUGGCUCUCAUUUGUUUUAAUCAUCACCGCCCACCUCUCGUCGUUGCUCAUUAUUGUUACCCAGGCAAGUAGGCAACUAUCAGCAGCCAUUCUUUUCAUUCAUAAUAAAGGUAAAAGAUAAGAACUGAACUAUGUGGAAUAGACAUUCAACUUUAUUUCUUUUAUGCAUGACUGGUUAUUUUCGGGUUAGAUUUGAAAUUUUUUUAACCUGACUUGACCGAUAUUUUUUUAUAAUAGGGUUUAGUUCAUUGGUAGGUAUUCUAUGUAUUCUCUUUUUCUGAUUUUAAUUCAUUUCCUUGAAAAAUCAACCAAACCUAAACUAAGAUCGAUCAACUUUGAUGAAUUUUCUAAACUAAUUCUCAAAUAGAAUCGGUACAAUUCAUUUUGGUUAAAUUGCUCAUCGGACCUAAUUUAACAUUAAUUUCCUUUGGGUAAAUAUUUUUAUGAUUAAAUUCAUGCAAAAAAGAACACCUACACCCCAACAUUUGGAGAAAUAUUAAUCAAGACCCCAAGUUUUCAAUAAGGGACACUAAGACCCCCUUUCCACCAUAAUACCAUUUGACUCUAUAAAUCGGAAAAAAUUAACUUCAAAAUUUUAUAAUAAAUAGAGACAUGACCUUAAGAUAAAUGUAAUAAUAUAU